Molecule: ribosomal RNA, 487 nt
Filed under: Ixodes granulatus
Lineage: Eukaryota; Metazoa; Arthropoda; Arachnida; Ixodida; Ixodidae
Description: partial 16S ribosomal RNA
Rfam family: Bacterial large subunit ribosomal RNA (bases 151-487)
Source: RNAcentral
AAUAAUAAAAAUGUAUAAUCUGCUCAUGAAUAAUUUAAAUUGCUGUGGUAUUUUGACUAUACGAAGGUAUUGAAAUAAGAUUUUAAAUGAGUGCUAAGAGAAUGGUUGAACAAUUAAAAGCUUUCUUUAAUUUAAUAAUUAAAUUUAAUUUUUUUGUGAAGAAGCAAAAAUAAGAAUUAGGGACAAGAAGACCCUAUGAAUUUUAAUUUAUUUAUUAUAUAAAAUAUGUUAAAUAAAUUUAGUUGGGGCGAUUGGAAAAGAAUAAGUAUCUUUUUUUAAAAAUUUUUAAAAAUUGGUUCCGUUUUUAGCGAUUAAAUGAAAAAAAUACUCUAGGGAUAACAGCGUAAUAAUUUUGGAUAGUUCAUAUUGAUAAAAUAGUUUGCGACCUCGAUGUUGGAUUAGGAUUCUUUUUUGGUGAAGAAAUUAUAAAAAGAAGUUUGUUCAACUUUUAAUUUCCUACAUGAUCUGAGUUCAAACCGGAGAAUCU